Molecule: long non-coding RNA, 890 nt
Organism: Juglans regia (Persian walnut)
Lineage: Eukaryota; Viridiplantae; Streptophyta; Magnoliopsida; Fagales; Juglandaceae
Exons: 3
Source: RefSeq, a predicted model, not a curated record
CAGUAGUAGGAGGGUACUAAUCCUAUCAUUAUUCUUUGCCCAUUAAUCCCACCUUAAUUACGAGACAAUCCAACGGCUCGAAAAUUUAAAAAGCCCUGGAUUAACAAGUUUGUUUUCAUGCAAUUAGUAACAACGGCUAGAAAAUUUAAAAAGGAUACAUAGGCGUUGGUUUUCACAUCUGUGUCAUUCCGUACUUCUUGUACAUAUUCCGCCAUAAUUGAGAAAUCCUCAUGUGCCUAGAGAGAGAGAGAGAGAGAGAGAGAGAGAUGGUGGUACUUGGGUUCGACGAGGUGGCGACCGUAGACGCUGAAGAAUGAGAGACACAUUCCUCAUCUUUACAUGUUUCUGUCUUCGCUAUUAUUGAGCUUUGAGGCAUUUUUGGCUCUCCCCAAGAACAAGCAACGAGAAAUGGCUUCCGGAGUUGUUUAUUCUCUGCAACAACCCAGAGGUGUUGGGGAUUAAUUUGAAGCAGUCUUGCAUGUGUUGGAAAAAGGGGAUAAACACACGAGGACACUCCUCCUCAUAGGUCCCACUCAUAAUGGUCUAUACAUUUUCCCUCCCAACCUGUCUUCAUCCUCCUCUUCGUCCACUAAUGUCGGUGAAAGAACAAGUGCAGCACAAUGGCAUCGAAGGUUAGGGCAUCCAUCCUUAUCACUGAUCUCCCGAGUUCUACGAGUGUUUGCCAGUUUCUCACAAGGACUCCUUUCAAUGUCUCGAGUGUCCAUUAGCUAAAAGCCAUCAAUUAUCCUUUUGUAAUAGUCUGGCCCAAUAUACAAGGCCUUUACAGUUACUUUGUGCGGACUUAUGGGGUCUGGCCUUUUAUGUUUCUAAACUUGGUUUUAGAUACUAUCUUUCUUUUGUUGAUUGUUAUACACGUUACACUUGGUGCU